ACGUACACUCCUACGGGAGGCAGCAGUGGGGAAUAUUGGACAAUGGGCGCAAGCCUGAUCCAGCCAUGCCGCGUGAGUGAUGAAGGCCCUAGGGUUGUAAAGCUCUUUCACCGGUGAAGAUAAUGACGGUAACCGGAGAAGAAGCCCCGGCUAACUUCGUGCCAGCAGCCGCGGUAAUACGAAGGGGGCUAGCGUUGUUCGGAUUUACUGGGCGUAAAGCGCACGUAGGCGGACUAUUAAGUCAGGGGUGAAAUCCCGGGGCUCAACCCCGGAACUGCCUUUGAUACUGGUAGGCUUGAGUUCGAGAGAGGUGAGUGGAAUUCCGAGUGUAGAGGUGAAAUUCGUAGAUAUUCGGAGGAACACCAGUGGCGAAGGCGGCUCACUGGCUCGAUACUGACGCUGAGGUGCGAAAGCGUGGGGAGCAAACAGGAUUAGAAACCCCGGUAGUCCCAUGA
RNAcentral lists this ribosomal RNA (455 nucleotides) under uncultured organism. Its description in RNAcentral is "partial 16S ribosomal RNA". It matches the Rfam family "Bacterial small subunit ribosomal RNA", at positions 329 to 800 of the family's 1533-position model. The record is from RNAcentral.